CAGUCGCCGCGGGAAAACGUAGGGGGCAAGCGUUAUCCGGAAUAACUGGGCGUAAAGGGUGCGCAGGUGGUUUAACAAGUUAGUGGUGAAAGGCAUAGGCUCAACCAAUGUAAGCCAUUAAAACUGUUUAACUUGAGUGCAGGAGAGGAAAGUGGAAUUCCUAGUGUAGCGGUGAAAUGCGUAGAUAUUGGGAGGAACACCAGUGGCGAAGGCGGCUUUCUGGACUGCAACUGACGCUGAGGCUCGAAAGCCAGGGGAGCGAACGGGAUUAGAUACCCCCGUAGUCCCUGUCUCUUAUACA
RNAcentral lists this ribosomal RNA (301 nucleotides) under uncultured bacterium. RNAcentral describes it as "partial 16S ribosomal RNA". It matches the Rfam family "Bacterial small subunit ribosomal RNA", at positions 509 to 809 of the family's 1533-position model. The record is from RNAcentral.